UACGUAGGGUGCAAGCGUUGUCCGGAUUUAUUGGGCGUAAAGAGCUCGUAGGCGGCUUGUUGCGUCGACUGUGAAAACCCGCGGCUUAACUGCGGGCUUGCAGUUGAUACGGGCAGGCUAGAGUUCGGUAGGGGAGACUGGAAUUCCUGGUGUAGCGGUGAAAUGCGCAGAUAUCAGGAGGAACACCGGUGGCGAAGGCGGGUCUCUGGGCCGUAACUGACGCUGAGGAGCGAAAGCAUGGGGAGCGAACAGG
This 253-nucleotide ribosomal RNA is filed under the name uncultured bacterium. RNAcentral describes it as "partial 16S ribosomal RNA". It matches the Rfam family "Bacterial small subunit ribosomal RNA", at positions 524 to 776 of the family's 1533-position model. The record is from RNAcentral.